Molecule: ribosomal RNA, 253 nt
Filed under: uncultured bacterium
Lineage: Bacteria
Description: partial 16S ribosomal RNA
Rfam family: Bacterial small subunit ribosomal RNA
Source: RNAcentral
UACGAAGGGGGCUAGCGUUGUUCGGAAUUACUGGGCGUAAAGGGCUCGUAGGCGGCCAACUAAGUCCGACGUGAAAUCCCAAAGCUUAACUUUGGAACUGCGUCGGAUACUGGAUGGCUUGAAUUCGGGAGAGGGAUGCAGAAUUCCAGGUGUAGCGGUGAAAUGCGUAGAUAUCUGGAGGAAUACCGGUGGCGAAGGCGGCAUCCUGGACCGACAUUGACGCUGAUGAGCGAAAGCUAGGGGAGCAAACGGG